UGGGGAAUUUUGCGCAAUGGGCGAAAGCCUGACGCAGCAACGCCGCGUGAGUGAUGAAGGCUUUCGGGUCGUAAAGCUCUGUCAAGGGGAAAGAAGUGUAUUGUGGCUAUAUCACGAUACUUGACGGUACCCCUAAAGGAAGCACCGGCUAACUCCGUGCCAGCAGCCGCGGUAAUACGGGGGGUGCAAGCGUUGUUCGGAAUUAUUGGGCGUAAAGCGCGUGUAGGCGGUCUGUUAAGUCUGAUGUGAAAGCCCUGGGCUCAACCCAGGAAGUGCAUUGGAUACUGGCAGACUUGAAUACGGGAGAGGGUAGUGGAAUUCCUGGUGUAGGAGUGAAAUCCGUAGAUAUCAGGAGGAACACCGGUGGCGAAGGCGGCUGCCUGGACCGAUAUUGACGCUGAGACGCGAAAGCGUGGGUAGCAAACA
Molecule: ribosomal RNA, 426 nt
Filed under: uncultured prokaryote
Description: bacterial SSU rRNA
Rfam family: Bacterial small subunit ribosomal RNA
Source: RNAcentral